GGAAUAUUGCGCCAUGGAGGAAACUCUGACGCAGCAACGCCGCGUGUAGGAUGAAGGCCCUUUGGGUCGUAAACUACUGUAGCAGGGGAAUAACGGUCACCCGUGGGGUGACAUGAAGGUACCCUGAAAGUAAGCGCCGGCUAACUACGUGCCAGCAGCCGCGGUAAUACGUAGGGCGCAAGCGUUGUCCGGAUUCACUGGGUGUAAAGGGUGCGUAGGCGGGACAGUAAGUCAGUGGUGAAAUCUCACGGCUCAACCGUGAAACUGCCGUUGAUACUGCUGUUCUUGAGUUCAGGAGAGGUUGAUGGAAUUCCAGGUGUAGCGGUGAAAUGCGUAGAUAUCUGGAAGAACACCAGUGGCGAAGGCGGUCAACUGGCCCGAGACUGACGCUGAGGCACGAAAGCGUGGGGAGCGAAC
This 417-nucleotide ribosomal RNA is filed under the name uncultured bacterium. RNAcentral describes it as "bacterial SSU rRNA". It matches the Rfam family "Bacterial small subunit ribosomal RNA", at positions 358 to 773 of the family's 1533-position model. The record is from RNAcentral.